RNAcentral lists this ribosomal RNA (925 nucleotides) under uncultured bacterium. Its description in RNAcentral is "bacterial SSU rRNA". It matches the Rfam family "Bacterial small subunit ribosomal RNA", at positions 8 to 916 of the family's 1533-position model. The record is from RNAcentral.
AGAGUUUGAUCCUGGCUCAGGACGAACGCUGGCGGCGUGCCUAAUACAUGCAAGUAGAACGCUGAAGAAAGGAGCUUGCUUCUUUUGGAUGAGUUGCGAACGGGUGAGUAACGCGUAGGUAACCUGCCUUGUAGCGGGGGAUAACUAUUGGAAACGAUAGCUAAUACCGCAUAACAGCUUUUGACACAUGUUAGAAGCUUGAAAGAUGCAAUUGCAUCACUACGAGAUGGACUGCGUUGUAUUAGCUAGUAGGUAGGGUAACGGCCUACCUAGGCGACGAUACAUAGCCGACCUGAGAGGGUGAUCGGCCACACUGGGACUGAGACACGGCCCAGACUCCUACGGGAGGCAGCAGUAGGGAAUCUUCGGCAAUGGGGGCAACCCUGACCGAGCAACGCCGCGUGAGUGAAGAAGGUUUUCGGAUCGUAAAGCUCUGUUGUAAGAGAAGAACGUGUGUGAGAGUGGAAAGUUCACACAGUGACGGUAACUUACCAGAAAGGGACGGCUAACUACGUGCCAGCAGCCGCGGUAAUACGUAGGUCCCGAGCGUUGUCCGGAUUUAUUGGGCGUAAAGCGAGCGCAGGCGGUUUAAUAAGUCUGAAGUUAAAGGCAGUGGCUUAACCAUUGUUCGCUUUGGAAACUGUUAAACUUGAGUGCAGAAGGGGAGAGUGGAAUUCCAUGUGUAGCGGUGAAAUGCGUAGAUAUAUGGAGGAACACCGGUGGCGAAAGCGGCUCUCUGGUCUGUAACUGACGCUGAGGCUCGAAAGCGUGGGGAGCAAACAGGAUUAGAUACCCUGGUAGUCCACGCCGUAAACGAUGAGUGCUAGGUGUUAGGCCCUUUCCGGGGCUUAGUGCCGCAGCUAACGCAUUAAGCACUCCGCCUGGGGAGUACGACCGCAAGGUUGAAACUCAAAUGAAUUGACGG